This 491-nucleotide ribosomal RNA is filed under the name uncultured bacterium. Its description in RNAcentral is "partial 16S ribosomal RNA". It matches the Rfam family "Bacterial small subunit ribosomal RNA", at positions 29 to 507 of the family's 1533-position model. The record is from RNAcentral.
AGUGAACGCUGGCGGUAGGCCUAACACAUGCAAGUCGAACGGCAGCACAGUAAGAGCUUGCUCUUACGGGUGGCGAGUGGCGGACGGGUGAGGAAUACAUCGGAAUCUACUUUUUCGUGGGGGAUAACGUAGGGAAACUUACGCUAAUACCGCAUACGACCUACGGGUGAAAGCAGGGGAUCUUCGGACCUUGCGCGAUUGAAUGAGCCGAUGUCGGAUUAGCUAGUUGGCGGGGUAAAGGCCACCAAGGCGACGAUCCGUAGCUGGUCUGAGAGGAUGAUCAGCCACACUGGAACUGAGACACGGUCCAGACUCCUACGGGAGGCAGCAGUGGGGAAUAUUGGACAAAGGGCGCAAGCCUGAUCCAGCCAUACCGCGUGGGUGAAGAAGGCCUUCGGGUUGUAAAGCCCUUUUGUUGGGAAAGAAAAGCAGCAGGUUAAUACCCCGCUGUUCUGACGGUACCCAAAGAAUAAGCACCGGCUAACUUCGUG